UUCAGUGCAGCGCGCGUGUUUGUUGAGUUCGAAUCGUGGUUCCAAAAUCUUAGGGAUCGGUACGGUCCGGGCUUAUCAAUCGUGUGUUUUAGGUCGUGUACGAUCGAAAAUGUGAUUUCGGGAUCAUGUGUGAUUGUGGUUAUAUCGAAAUGUAAAGUGAUCUUCUACAAGAAUUCUGAGAAAUAACUAGAAAUCAAAUUCAGCCAACCUUACGUACGAUCGAAAUGUCUUUGGAAUGUCACCAGCGUUUCCGGUUCUGGUUUCUAUCAUGCCGGUUUGUUUCCUGACGACAUGACUCAAGUGGAAUCGCUUAUGUUUAUGACGACAGAGUGUGUCACAUGCCAGAUCUAAACGUAUAAGUCCCAAGACAAGACAAUGAAUGGGAUAUGUGCUGCAGCAAUGGGUGUCUAUUGUCUGUAUUCCUUCGUCGUCAGCGGAAUGCACGAGUGAAUAUAAAUA
Aedes aegypti (yellow fever mosquito) is the source of this 459-nucleotide long non-coding RNA. RefSeq lists it as uncharacterized. The transcript is spliced from 2 exons. Lineage: Eukaryota; Metazoa; Arthropoda; Insecta; Diptera; Culicidae. The record is from RefSeq and is a predicted model, not a curated record.